AUUCCUCUGGGGCAAACCAGGCCGGACACCAGACCAGCCUCUUCCUCCAGACAGCGGCCGCUGGCAGGGACGGCGAGAAAGGGCAAGGGUCCCCUGGGGAGGUGUCCACUGAGGCACCCCCCACCCUUCUCCCCGAGACUGCCCCCGGAUCCAUCCAACCCGAAACCAACUCCCGCAUCCCUACUCGAGGAAGCCCCGGAGUCCCGCCGCUUGGUGAGGGUGUGUGUCCACCCGACUGCGGCCCUCAGAACCCCCAAAUGGAGGCCAGGGCUGAAGAGCUGGUACCCCAAGAGGCCCACUAAAGUUAACAGAUGGAGGAGCAAGAGCAUAAUGAAGACAGACACACCAUCCCACUCCCACUCUGGCCGCCACAAGAUGGAAAACGGAAGCAGUAAGUGAAGAUGGCAACACUGCCCACGACCACAGCCGCACGUAAAAAUAACUGCUGGAGCACAGCGCCCAGGACGAGGUAUGGGAAAUGAGCACGUGGCUCUGAGAGCCUGCCUGGUAUUCCUGCUCAUCUCCAGACCUUCAGCAGAGACCAGCCAGGCACACAGACGAGCCUAUGGCGACGGCAGCUGUCCCUGCCAUCCCAACAUCAGUGGUUUAUCAUCUAGCUCCUUUUCAGUAGUCAGGUAAGAAUAAACAUCUGGCAAUCG
RNAcentral lists this long non-coding RNA (659 nucleotides) under Mus musculus (house mouse). RNAcentral describes it as "predicted gene, 57007". Lineage: Eukaryota; Metazoa; Chordata; Mammalia; Rodentia; Muridae. The record is from RNAcentral.